This 3058-nucleotide long non-coding RNA is filed under the name Canis lupus familiaris (dog). RNAcentral's name for it is "lncRNA (ENSCAFG00000055898.1)". Lineage: Eukaryota; Metazoa; Chordata; Mammalia; Carnivora; Canidae. The record is from RNAcentral.
UUUUUUUUUUUUUUUAAUUGGGAGAGAGAGAAGAGCGCAUGCAUAAGCAGGAGGGGCAAAGAGAGGAAGAGAAUCUCAGGCAGGCUGUGUGCUCAGCACAGAGUCUGACUAGGGGCUGGAUAUCACACCCUGAGAUCACAACCUGAGCUGAAACCAAGAGUUGAAUGCCUAACUGUGCCACCCAGGUGCCCUAACUAUUUCUGAUUCUUCCAUUCUGAGAACUCCACAUGAGCAUAACCAAUCCACUUAAACCACUAUUUUACCUUCAGCUGUUAUAUUUCUCCUUAUACCUUUUAUCCCAUUGGGAAAAAUUUGCCCUUACAGUACUGAUUUGAUCAGAAAAUUAAAAAAAAAAAAAAAAGAUUUUCACAUCGUUCCUUAAACAUCUAUCUAUUAAAAAAAUCUGUUUAAAAUCACAUCUGCAUUCCAAUUUAGCCAAGGGCAGACAUAUGUCACAAAAAGAUUGUUCUUACCAGAUGCUAAAGAGCAUAUCUUAAAUUUGCAUAAUAAAAAUGAAUAUAAGAGGCUCUGCACAGGAAAGUCCUAUAUAUGCUUCACGUGGAAAAUGCUGGUUCUAGUAUACUGAAUACCUUCAGACAGGGCAAAAUAUUCCACUGUUUCACAUUUUAUUAUUUUUAAAAGAUUUUUAAGUAAUCCCUACACCCAAUGUGGGGCUCGAACUUACAACCUGAAGAUCAAGUGUAGCAUUCUCUGUGGACUGAGCCAGGCAAGCGCACGUUUCACGGUUUAGAUUCAUGUAUGAGUGAGUACAUUCUACCACAGGUGAGUUCACAGCAGGAGCAAGUCCACAAUAAUCACAACUGCUUAUGUUGUUGGUACAUUUAAAGUCAGUAAUAGUCAACCUUUUCAGACCAUGUGCUUCAAGCCAGGUAGGUUUACAGAUGGUCCUAGAGUACUCACAAUUCACAUUAAGCAUUUUGUAGGUCCUUUAGCAUUACCCGUUCAUCUUUACAUACAGCCAAUCUUUGAGAUGAUGGUUCUUUCUGAGACAGUAAACAUCCAUCUCCUGGAUUCCUCCCAGGGAUCAUUCUGAGGAAAUGAUUCUCAUAGCUGUUACAACUAUCAGGCACUGGUCUAACCACAACCAAUAGUUCUCAUUGGAAAGUCAAAGGAAAAUGAAGUCAAAAAAUCAGAAAAUUAGUUAACAUGAAUUUUUUCUUCGGGCACAGGGAAUCCUCAAAAGCUCUGAUUCCCUUAGUGGUAUGGCUACCAGUGGCCACCAUCCCCAAAAUGUCAAGGGAACAGACCCCAGCUUUGGCCUGAGAGCUCAUGACAGAGUCCUAGGCAGGACUGCGGAGAGCAGCCAGAAAGGAAAGCACUGAUGAGCGGCAGGCAAAGGGUUAGGAGCACAGAACACAGCGAUAAGUAGAGAGCACUCCUGGAUAUCCACUUCAUGUUUGCUGACUUCAAUUUUUAAUUAUAAUCUAAUUCAGAACUACUGGACCACAAACAAAGCUGAAGAGAGUCGGCUGGCACUUUAGAACUAUACUGUUAUAAUUGAAGAAAAAAUAAGGUGAUAAUAUAUAUGAUUCAUGUUGAAAUAAAAAUUUGGCUAUUUCCUUCUUCUUCCAUGGUUUUCCCCUCAAAUAAUUACAAAGCAAGAAAGCACUGUUUCCAAAAUGCUUGAAAGAGAUUUAGAAGAAACAAAUACUGCAAAAAGACCUCUCAAUGGUCUCAACAGGUCUGGGAAAACGAGACCAGCAGUGGCCCUGAUAAACGUGUGCUAAGUUAAAGGAGUCCAGACAGCAGUGUCAGAGGCUAAGUACAGGUGGCCAAACAACAGGCUCCAAAUGGGGUCAAUGAGGAGGCCUACAACAGGGGUGGGGGGGGGGGGGGAACGCAUGGGGACAGCAGGACACACAUACCACCAUCUGGUAGGAGUUCACUCAACAAUGACCUAUGUGGCCUCAGAGGAGCCACGGCCUCGCUAGACUCAGUUUCUCCUUACACUCAAGAAGUUACACAAAAUACCUUACUCAGAAUGGAGAUGUGGUUUCUUUAAACAAUCUUGCCCAUUUCAUGCUUCCAACCUUCUACACAGAGCCCACCCCAUCACCUAACCUGCAAUCUUCCUGCAACACUCAACCAGAGGGUCCUCCAGCUGCUCCUUCCUUGGGUGCCCUGUCAGGGCCUGAGAUCACCUGCCCCUUCGCCCCUCCAGGCUCCUCCCCACCUGGGGCUCGCAGGCCCAAUGCUCCCCUGGCACCCCCCACACAGGGUGUCCCACCAGGGGAAGAUAGGCUAAGCAGCACCCUAGGGCCCCGGUCUCUGGGGGCACCGCAAGGCUCCUCUCUACCCAGGUCCCUCUCACCAAAGAGCAGAGACUGAGUGGGUUUCCUGACAACUGAAGAACUAACAACUGCCAAGGUAUUCUUUCAUAAAGACCUUCAGUACAAAACUUACGGCUUUGUUCAUAAGCCAAUCACAAAUGUGACCAAAAAAGGUGUGUGUGUGUGGGGGGGGGGGGGAAUGAACACCAAUAAUAAUAAUAAUAAUAAUAAUAAUAAUAAUAAUAAUACCUUUGUUUCCAAACAAAAGCAAGUGAACCAGUUGGGCUAUUUCACUAUGUCCUGAAACAAGCAAAACUACCUAAGGCCUACUUUUACUGUGAAUCUUGUUAACAUUUUAAGUCAGAGUAUACUUUAAAGCACUAAAUAAAAAAGGGUUCUUGGGUACCUCCAGCAGGAGUCAUUGAGUUCAACAGCUAGAUGGCUGCUCUGAGAACAGACACAAAGAUUUACCCCACGGGGUGUCUGCGCAGCAUCCUUUACCAAAGCAGUGUGCAGGAAUCACCCCAAAUGUCCAACAAUCAAACACCAGUUUAACGUCUUACUGUACAAGCAAUGGAAUGGUAGGUCAUCGCGUCCAAAUAAGGAUACUAAAGUGUCUAUGGGAGAAGAGACGAUGACUGGGGCCUGCUUCCACAUAAUCCAGGCAGUAAGAAACAGACGCACCAAGACAGGCCAAGGGAUGAUCACAGAAGCCAAGUGCUGAGCGCUGGGUGGUCACGACCAAUUCUAUUUUUAUGAAUGUCUCA